GCUAACUUCCCUGACACGGUGUCGCUGAGGGAUACGCCGCGACUUAGGCGGCCGUCUAAAGCGGCCACAGCCGGCUUUGGAAAUAACACCACCGCGACAAGCCGUCCCAGCAUCUGGUGGGUCUCUCUGCCACUGGGGGGGUAAACCUACACCCCGACAUGCAGCAGCUGGCAUGCCGGGGGCAAGUCUUUAACCCCCACCGUGUCAAAGUUGACCAGCUGAUAGGAUUUCUCACAGAGCCUGAUGUCUUCACCGGCGAGGAGUGAAAGAUGGGAGAAGAGUAGCUGAUGUCACAUUGGAUCAGUGGAUGAGGAGGCUCUGGGAGGAGGGACGAGAGCGUAAACCCCCUGAGACCAGGAGAGUGGGCCUUUCAUCACCUCCACCAAUCAACAGCCUCCCAUCAAUCACACAUAUGUCAAUGUAACGCCGGCAGUACAAAGUUCCCAUCGGCAUGACAGGGCAUUUUGAAAGAACCAUCAUAAAAUAGGCUCUGUGUUUUUGUAUGUGGAAAUUUAUAUAAUAAAGGAUAUAUUUAA
Osmerus eperlanus (European smelt) is the source of this 536-nucleotide long non-coding RNA. RefSeq lists it as uncharacterized. The record is from RefSeq and is a predicted model, not a curated record. NCBI's taxonomy places the organism in Eukaryota, Metazoa, Chordata, Actinopteri, Osmeriformes, Osmeridae. The transcript is spliced from 2 exons.